RNAcentral lists this ribosomal RNA (254 nucleotides) under uncultured Stenotrophomonas sp. Its description in RNAcentral is "partial 16S ribosomal RNA". It matches the Rfam family "Bacterial small subunit ribosomal RNA", at positions 99 to 356 of the family's 1533-position model. Lineage: Bacteria; Pseudomonadati; Pseudomonadota; Gammaproteobacteria; Lysobacterales; Lysobacteraceae. The record is from RNAcentral.
CGGACGGGUGAGGAAUACAUCGGAAUCUACUCUGUCGUGGGGGAUAACGCAGGGAAACUUACGCUAAUACCGCAUACGACCUACGGGUGAAAGCAGGGGAUCUUCGGACCUUGCGCGAUUGAAUGAGCCUAGGUCGGAUUAGCUAGUUGGUGAGGUAAUGGCUCACCAAGGCGACGAUCCGUAACUGGUCUGAGAGGAUGAUCAGUCACACUGGAACUGAGACACGGUCCAGACUCCUACGGGAGGCAGCAGUG